Molecule: non-coding RNA, 226 nt
Organism: Pelobates cultripes (western spadefoot toad)
Lineage: Eukaryota; Metazoa; Chordata; Amphibia; Anura; Pelobatidae
Source: the annotation of a GenBank genome assembly
CUAGGAGUGGCAGAGGUGUGUGGUGCCGAUAGAUCGAUGAUAAGUCUCUGUUUGUGGGAAGAUUUCCCUGUGACAAUACCGAUAGGGUUUGUCCGCCAUGUGGUGAAAGGAGGGGACUGGAAGGGCCCCAAUAGGAAGCCCUGCGCCACUUCCUUGGCUAUGAGUGUGUCAACCGCUGUAGGGUUUUGCUGUGCGGAUUGUAAAUUAGGACAUUCCAGGAUUCCGG